CAGCAGCCGCGGUAAUACGUAGGGUGCAAGCGUUAAUCGGAAUUACUGGGCGUAAAGCGUGCGCAGGCGGUGAUGUAAGACAGUGGUGAAAUCCCCGGGCUCAACCUGGGAACCGCAUCUGUGACUGCAUCGCUGGAGUGCGGCAGAGGGAGAUGGAAUUCCGCGUGUAGCAGUGAAAUGCGUAGAUAUGCGGAGGAACACCGAUGGCGAAGGCAAUCCCCUGGGCCUGCACUGACGCUGAGGCACGAAAGCGUGGGGAGCAAACAGGAUUAGAUACCCCGGUAGUCCCUGUCUCUUAUAC
RNAcentral lists this ribosomal RNA (301 nucleotides) under uncultured bacterium. Its description in RNAcentral is "partial 16S ribosomal RNA". It matches the Rfam family "Bacterial small subunit ribosomal RNA", at positions 509 to 807 of the family's 1533-position model. The record is from RNAcentral.